RNAcentral lists this ribosomal RNA (483 nucleotides) under uncultured bacterium. RNAcentral describes it as "partial 16S ribosomal RNA". It matches the Rfam family "Bacterial small subunit ribosomal RNA", at positions 30 to 506 of the family's 1533-position model. The record is from RNAcentral.
AUUGAACGCUGGUGGCAGGCCUAACACAUGCAAGUCGAGCGGAUGAAGGGAGCUUGCUCCUGGAUUCAGCGGCGGACGGGUGAGUAAUGCCUAGGAAUCUGCCUGGUAGUGGGGGAUAACGUCCGGAAACGGGCGCUAAUACCGCAUACGUCCUGAGGGAGAAAGUGGGGGAUCUUCGGACCUCACGCUAUCAGAUGAGCCUAGGUCGGAUUAGCUAGUUGGUGGGGUAAAGGCCUACCAAGGCGACGAUCCGUAACUGGUCUGAGAGGAUGAUCAGUCACACUGGAACUGAGACACGGUCCAGACUCCUACGGGAGGCAGCAGUGGGGAAUAUUGGACAAUGGGCGAAAGCCUGAUCCAGCCAUGCCGCGUGUGUGAAGAAGGUCUUCGGAUUGUAAAGCACUUUAAGUUGGGAGGAAGGGCAGUAAGUUAAUACCUUGCUGUUUUGACGUUACCAACAGAAUAAGCACCGGCGAACUUCGU